AACGAACGCUGGCGGCAUGCCUAAUACAUGCAAGUCGAACGCCUGUAGCAAUACAGGAGUGGCGCACGGGUGAGUAACGCGUGGGAACCUGCCCUGGAGUGGGGGAUAACCCGGCGAAAGCCGGGCUAAUACCGCAUACGCCCUUGGAGCAAUCCUUGGGGAAAGAUUUUAUCGCUCUAAGGAGGGGCCCGCGUCGGAUUAGCUAGUUGGUAGGGUAACGGCCUACCAAGGCGAUGAUCCGUAGCUGGUCUGAGAGGAUGAUCAGCCACACUGGGACUGAGACACGGCCCAGACUCCUACGGGA
RNAcentral lists this ribosomal RNA (304 nucleotides) under uncultured bacterium. RNAcentral's name for it is "bacterial SSU rRNA". It matches the Rfam family "Bacterial small subunit ribosomal RNA", at positions 29 to 346 of the family's 1533-position model. The record is from RNAcentral.